CGUGUAGGCGGAGAUGCAAGUCAGGAGUGAAAUCCCGGGGCUCAACCCCGGAACUGCUUUUGAAACUGCAUCCCUUGAGUAUCGGAGAGGCAAGCGGAAUUCCUAGUGUAGCGGUGAAAUGCGUAGAGAUCUGGAGGAAUACCGAUUGCGAAGGCAGCCCCCUGGACAGUGACUGACGCUCAAAUGCGAAAGCGUGGGGAUCAAACAGGAUUAGAUACCCUGGUA
Molecule: ribosomal RNA, 225 nt
Filed under: uncultured Thorsellia sp.
Lineage: Bacteria; Pseudomonadati; Pseudomonadota; Gammaproteobacteria; Enterobacterales; Thorselliaceae
Description: partial 16S ribosomal RNA
Rfam family: Bacterial small subunit ribosomal RNA
Source: RNAcentral